AAAUAUCCAAUGGCGUGCCAGCGGUUGCGGUUAUACGAUUACUUCCAGAAAUUAUAGGUAAAAGAAAAUUUUCAUUAUUUUAUGUAUAAAUUAAGAGUGAAAUCUUUUUUUUUAUUAAAUUAUUUAGUUUUUCUUUUUAAAACCAAAAAAGAAUAGGAUUAGAUACCCUAAUAUAAAAUCUUAAAAAGUAUUAAAUGAUACACACGAAACUUAAUUUUUUUGGCGGUUUGACUUCUUAUCAGAGGGGCUUGUUCACUAAUCGAUAGUCCCCGUUUAAUUUUUCUGAAAGUCUUAUUUUAUAUACCUCCGUAAAAGACGAAUUUUAAAUAUUUCUUCUUUUAAUAUUAAUUAAUCAACUCAGGUCAAGGUUUAAAUUAUCUUUAAGAUUGAAUUAGCCAUUAAUUUUCAUUGUUCUCUAAAAACAAAUUUUAGGAUUUGCUUGUAAGAAAAAAGUAAAUAUUUUUACUGAACUAGUAAAGUCAAAUGUACAAAUCGCCCGUCACUCUUGAAAAAGAUAAGUCGUAACAAAGUAGAAGUAUCGGAAGAUGCUUCUUG
Molecule: ribosomal RNA, 555 nt
Filed under: Hygrobates longiporus
Lineage: Eukaryota; Metazoa; Arthropoda; Arachnida; Trombidiformes; Hygrobatidae
Description: small subunit ribosomal RNA
Source: RNAcentral